AUAAUGAACAGACGACAUAUUUAACAAUAAUAAUAACACAAUCAUUGGGAAAACAUCUGAAGCAGUUCCUGAGAAGAGAGAAAAGGAGAAAAGUUAUUAACAUGUUAAUGUUGUUAGUGUGUCUGUGUGUACAUCUAAUUGUUAGUGUGUCUGUGUGUACAUCUAAAUGUUAGUGUGUCUUUUAGAACCAAAUGAUAGUGUGUCUGUGUGUACAUCUAAUUGCUAUUGUGUCUUUGUGUACAUCUAAAUAUUAGUGUGUGUCUUUGUUUAGAACCAAAUGAUAGUGUGUCUGUGUGUAUAUCUAAUUGUUAUUGUGUCUUUGUGUACAUCUAACUAUUAGUGUGUGUCUUUGUUUAGAACCAAAUGUUAGUGUGUCUGUGUGUACAUCUAAUUGUUAGUGUGUCUGUGUGUACAUCUAAAUAUUAAUGUGUCUUUGUGUACAUCUAAAUAUUAGUGUGUGUCUUUGUUUAGAACCAAAUGUUAGUGUGUCUGUGUGUACAUCUAAUUGUACAUCUAAAUUUGCCAGCGUGUCUAAAUGUUAGUGUGUCUUUGAGUACAUCUGUGUGUGUGUGUGUGUGUGUGUGUGUGGGUGUGUGUGUGUGUCAUGAGUAGAUCUGGAUUUGCUCCUGAGGGGUUGACGCAGCGUCCUGAUGGCGUCCUGAUGGAAUCCUGAUGGCGUCCCGAUGACGUAGUGUCCUGAUGGCGUCCCGAUGACGUGGCGUCCUGAUGGCGUCCCGAUGACGUGGCGUCCUGAUGGCGUCCUGUUGGUCUGCAGACAAGGAGAAGAGACAUCUGGAUUUGCUCCUGAGGGGUUGACGCGGCGUCCCGAUGGCGUCCUGAUGGCGUCCCGAUGACGUGGUGUCCUGAUGGCGUCCCGAUGACGUGGCGUCCUGAUGGUGUCCCGAUGACGUAGCGUCCCGAUGACGUUGGUGUCCUGAUGGCGUGGCGUCCUGAUGGCGUCCCGUUGGUCUGCAGACAAGGAGAAGAGACGUGAGGAGGAUCAUCAGGAUGUGAGACAAGAUUCAUAGAUCCAAUUAUUUUACUUUGAUGCACAUUUUAAUUAUUUCAUGUUUGUAUGGAUGUGUAAAUCUACAUUACAUAUUUGUGGUUGUUAAACUGUAUUUCUGUAUUUGCUUUUUAUGUUUAGCUAGUCUCUGUGCAUAGCAAUAUGUUAGUGCGUCUCUGUGUAAGUACUUUUUACAUUACAUUACAUUUCAUUUAGCUGACGCUUUUAUCCAAAGCGACUUACAAUAAGUGCAUUCAACCAUAGGGUACAAACUCAGAAGUGCAAUUUCCUCAAAUAACUUUU
Gasterosteus aculeatus aculeatus (three-spined stickleback) is the source of this 1309-nucleotide long non-coding RNA. The record is from Ensembl. NCBI's taxonomy places the organism in Eukaryota, Metazoa, Chordata, Actinopteri, Perciformes, Gasterosteidae.